RNAcentral lists this long non-coding RNA (3520 nucleotides) under Homo sapiens (human). RNAcentral's name for it is "HSALNT0340119". The record is from RNAcentral. Lineage: Eukaryota; Metazoa; Chordata; Mammalia; Primates; Hominidae.
CUGGAAGAUUUAAAGGGCUCCUCUUUUGUCAAUAUCCCCCUAGCUCUCCUGCCAGUUUUCUCUCACCUCCUGUACAGUUUUUCUGUCUCCUUAUCUGCUGCUACUCUAAGACAGGGCUUUAGCCUAUAGGCCAAAUCUGGCCCACCACCUGUUUUUGCAAAUAAAGUUUUAUUGGAAGACAGCCAUACCCAUUUGUUUACAUAUUGUCUAUGGCUGCUUAUACUCUACAAUGGUAGAGCUGUGGCAGAGAUUGCAUGCCUGCAAAACUGAACAUAUUUACUAUCUGGCCCCUUGCAAAAAAUAAAAAGUUUUCUGACGGUAUACUAGAGAAUGAGCUUCAGCUGAUAAGAGAUGAUAAGGAAAUAGUGCAACUCAAAAAUGGGACAAGGGAAAUAGAGAAAAACGGAAUAUGCCCCUAGAUUGUUGUAUGAGCAAUGGAUGGGAGAUGAAGAAUACUGCAGUAUUUAUAAACCAGAUAGUAAAAGCUUAAACAAGAAAAUAAGAGUAAGAGCCAAGGGAGGCUGAGGUGAGAGGAUUGCUUGUGCGCUGGAUCGCCUGACUGAGACCAUCCUGGGCAACACAGGGAGACACCAUUUCUACAAAAAAUACAAAAAAAUUAGCUUGUUGUGGUGGCACAUGACUGUAGUCCCAGCUACUCAGGUGGCUGAGGUGGGAGGACUUACUGAGCCCAGGAGGCCAAGGCUUUGAUGAGCCAGGAUCAUGCCAUUAUACUCCAGCCUGGGCAAAGAGCAAGACCCUGUCUUAAAAAAAAAAUUAAGAGCAUUUUAAAAAGUGUACAUAUAAAAUAACCACUGGAAUAAAAUUACAAACCUUUAUAAAUAUAAUUUUUAAAGUAAAAAAAAAUACAUUGCAUGGCAAUACAAUUGCCAUGCAGAUACAUGCAAUACAAUUGCAUAGCAGAUACAAUACAUGAUCAAUAUAAAGUAAUGUGGCAGAAUGGAGACCCAAUAUAUCAGUUGUAUCAGUAAAUAUGAGAGGACUCAUAAAAAGAAAACAUUUUUAAUUUGACUCAUCCUCAUCAGCCUUCUUGGCUAGAACUCCCCAUUCUCUCUUGAACCCAUCCAGUCAGGCUCCAGUUCUCACCACCCCCACAGAAACAACUCUUAUCAAGAUAACCAAUGGCUUUCAAAGUUUCUAUUGCUCUCUUCCCAGUCCUUAUUUUUCCAAGUCUCGCAGCAGCAGUUGACAAAGGUGAUCCUGUUCUCCCCAUCAAAAACUGUUUCUUUACUAAUUUCUGGGAUAGCACCUCUCCUGGUACAGGGGAAGGAAGGAAGACUUCCUUCCCAGAGACUUCUCAGAGUUUUUUACUGGAUUCUUCUCCUCUUCCUGAUCUAAUCGAAGGUUGGAUUCUCCCAGGUCUCCUUCCAUGGACCUCUUCUCUUUCCUCUCUUCACUUUUUCUCAUAGUAUCUUCCAUCAUUCCCUUGGCUUUCAUGGACAGGGUGAUGAUCUCCAGAUUUGUAUCCCAGACCCUGAGGUCUUCCCUGAGCUUUAGACUCACAGACCCAACUGUCUACUCAGCUUGGCAUCAGCAUCCAUCCUGCUGGAUUCUGCAGAUCCUGCUGCCCAGAUGCCACAGUGUGGUCUGUUUGGGUACAGACUAGCCAUCUCAAACCUAAUGUAUUCAAAGCUAAAUUACUGAUUUGUCGUUCCUGGUUUGUUUCCUCUACAGUCUUCCCCAUCUCAGGAAGCAGCAGCACCAUUCACCUCGUUGCUUGGUUGAACAGGGGGAGUCUUCCUUGACCCCUCUCUCUCAGAUAAUUUCUCAGUAAGUCCUGUUGGCUCUGGCCUAGCACAGUGGCUCAGGCCUGUAAUUCCAAUGCUUUGGAAGGCCAGGGCAGGCAGAAGGCUUGAGCCCAGAAGUUCAAGACCAGCCUGGGUAACAUGGUGAGACCCAUAUCUCCAUAAAUACAAAAAUUAGCUGGGUGUGGUGGCAUGCACCCAUAGUCCCAGCUGCUUGGGAGGCUGAGAGGUGGGAGGAUACCUUGAUCCAGGAGGUCAAGGCUGCAGUGAGCCAUGAUUGCACCAGUGCACUACAGCCUGGGCAACAAGCGAGACCCAGUCUAAAAAAAAAAGUCCUGUUAGCUCUAACUUGAUCACUCUCUAAUCUGCCCCACCAAGAUCUCUGAGGGCCGAGCCACCCUCCUGUCUGGUCUGGGCUACUCCUGUAGCCUCCUAACUGGCUGCCCCUCACCUCUACUUCUGCCCCCUGCUUUUUUCCUCCACACUUCAGCCAACGGGAUGAUUCUAAAAUGCGGGUCAGAUCACACCACCCCUCCUCAAAACCCUCCAACUGCUUCCCAUCCACACUUACAGGAAAAUCUAAAGAACUCAAUGUGACUUACACAGCCCUGUAUGUUCUGGCCCCUGCCUCUCUCUCCAGCCUCAUUUACUACUUUUCCCUCUCCUUCACCACAUUCCAGAGGCCCUGGCUUCUUUCCUGUUUCCAGGACACGCCAAACACAGUCCUGCCUCAGGGCAGUUUGCUGUCUGGAAGAGCCUUGCCCAGGCCUCAGUAAGGUUCUAUGCUCACUGCAUUCAGCUCUCUGCUCUUCUGAGGGGUCCUCAUGACAAUCACAAACAAAACAGCACCGCUUCACUCGCUGCACUCAAACAUUGCUUCACGUUUCCAUAGUGCUCAUCACCGCUUGCCAGUACAUUGUAUUAAAUAGUUCUGAGUUUUUUUUUUUUUUUUCUUUUGAGAUGGAGUCUCACUCUGUUGCCCAGGCUGGAGUGCAGCGGUGCAAUCUCGGCUCACUGCUACUUCUGCCUCCCGGGUUCAAGCAAUUCUCCAGCCUCAGCCUCCCGAGUAGUUGGGACUAUAGGCAACCGCCACCAUGCCCAGCUAAUUUUUUGUAUUUUUAGUAGAGACGGGGUUUCACCAUGUUAGCCAGGAUGGUCUCAAUCUCCUGACCUCAAGAUCUUCCUGCCUCGGCCUCCCAAAGUGCUGGGAUUACAGGUGUGAGCCACCAUGCCCAGCCUAAACACUUUCAUUUGUCUUUCUCUCCUCUAAAAUAUAAACUCCCUAAAGUGAUGACUUUGUCUUACUCACUACUCUAUUCUCAAUAUGUGGCACAGUGCCUGAAAAAUAGCAUGCGCUCAAUAAAUAAUUGUUGAAUGAAUGAAUGAAUGGAGACAUGGUCCUAUUUUGGCCUGUGAUUCAAUGUUUCCAAAUUCCUGACAGAUUUUAAUCUUUGGGAAUUAGGAAUGAGAAACCAAAAUGUAUAGGCAGUCCAGGGAAUUUCUGAACUCCUAAGUUAGGUACAGGUUGCCUCAUAUAUGUUCAUUUCUUUAAAAAAUGAAACUAUUUUGUCUGCUUUACAAAGAACUGUAGGCAGCCAGGAAUCGUGGCUCACACCUGUAACCCCAGCACUGUGUGUGGGAGGCCGAGACAGGCUGAUCACCUGAGGUCAGGAGUUCAAGACCAGCCUGGCCAAUAUGAUGAAACCACGUCUCUACCAAAAAUACAAAAAUUAGCUGGGCGUGGUAGCACGUGCCUG